This 120-nucleotide ribosomal RNA is filed under the name Ochotona princeps (American pika). The record is from RNAcentral. Lineage: Eukaryota; Metazoa; Chordata; Mammalia; Lagomorpha; Ochotonidae.
UACGGCCAUACCACACUGACCGCGCCUGAUCUCAUCUGAUCUCGGAAGCUAAGCAGGGUUGGGCCUGGUUAGUACUUGGAUGGGAGAAUCUUCUCCUUGGGGCAGGUUUCUAAGCUGUGU